Molecule: long non-coding RNA, 464 nt
Organism: Schistocerca gregaria
Lineage: Eukaryota; Metazoa; Arthropoda; Insecta; Orthoptera; Acrididae
Exons: 2
Source: RefSeq, a predicted model, not a curated record
CUUUAAGGAUUCUAUUACAUUUGUAAUAAUAACAUCAUUAUUAAUUAUACUAUGUUUAAUUAAUCCUUACCUAUUAGGAGAUCCAGAUAACUUUGUACCUGCCAACCCAUUAGUAACACCAGUUCACAUUCAACCAGAAUGAUAUUUCCUAUUUGCAUAUGCAAUUCUACGAUCUAUCCCUAAUAAGUUAGGAGGUGUUAUUGCAUUAUUUUUAUCAAUUAGAAUCUUAAUAAUUUUACCAUUUUAUAAUAAAACACCAUUCCGAGGCAUUCAAUUUUACCCUAUUAAUCAAAUUUUAUUCUGAAUUAUAGUAGUUGUUGUAUGCUUACUAACGUGAAUUGGUAAACGACCUGUUGAAGAACCUUAUAUUAUAACAGGUGAAAUCUUAACAAUUAUUUACUUCACAUAUUUCUUAAUUAAUGUCCAUGUCGCAAACGCAUGAGAUAAAUUAAUUAAGGAAUAAA